UGGUCACUAACACCAGCACAUUUCAUAGGAAGUGUGCGACAAUGCAGCCUGGUUCUGUGCUCUCUGGGAAUUUGGUCCAGCUGUAUUCGAGCUUGGAGAUUCAGACUCAGGCUCCCAUACUUGUGUGGCAAGCGCCGUAUCUGCUGAGCUCUUCUAUCUCUCUCGAUUCUCUGGAGAUCUAAUGAAUCCAGGUGGGAAGCUUGCCUGCCUGGCUCGGGUGAAAUCUUGGAUGGACAAGGGGAGACCAGCACCUUGCUACUUCAGGCACACACAGCCCUGCUAAUCAGUUUCAUCUCAGGUCCCCUGUCCAGGCCCUCAACUGACAUCUUGCUCCCAACCACACUCAGCUUUGCUUCCUUGACCUGCCUUACCUGGCUCCUUAGCUCUGACCUGCACCCCGAAGUUGCUGGUCCAGCUGGCAGAGCUGUCGGAGGAAGCCACGAUUGGGGAAGAUCCAUCGGCGCUCCCUCACAGUGAUUAUGGCCUGCUGCAAGGACAGCUGCUGGUGGAGCAUGAGGUAAGCCAGGACCAGUGUGGCAGAUCGGCUCACACCCACCACGCAGUGCACCAGCACCUUAGCUGAGGAAGACACUCAGAUGAAGGACUCCUCUCUACUAGCCAGCCCACCCAAGGUCCAUUCCCGAACCUGUGUUGGGUGUAUCAUGGUGUAUCAUGCCUGGGGCAAGUUCCUCAAUCUCU
Molecule: long non-coding RNA, 699 nt
Organism: Mus musculus (house mouse)
Lineage: Eukaryota; Metazoa; Chordata; Mammalia; Rodentia; Muridae
Product: predicted gene 15935
Exons: 2
Source: RefSeq, a predicted model, not a curated record